UACAUGGGGUGCAAACGUUGCUCGGAAUCACUGGGCGUAAAGGGCGCGUAGGCGGACUCUUAAGUCGGGGGUGAAAGCCCAGGGCUCAACCCUGGAAUUGCCUUCGAUACUGAGAGUCUUGAGUUCGGAAGAGGUUGGUGGAACUGCGAGUGUAGAGGUGAAAUUCGUAGAUAUUCGCAAGAACACCAGUGGCGAAGGCGGCCAACUGGUCCGGUACUGACGCUGAGGUGCGAAAGCGUGGGGAGCAAACAGG
RNAcentral lists this ribosomal RNA (253 nucleotides) under uncultured bacterium. RNAcentral describes it as "partial 16S ribosomal RNA". It matches the Rfam family "Bacterial small subunit ribosomal RNA", at positions 524 to 776 of the family's 1533-position model. The record is from RNAcentral.